AAAGAAAUUAGGUUCAAACCCCUAAACCGAGGGCCUUCAAAGCCCUAAAAGAGGAUAACCACCCCCUCAUUUCUUG
Molecule: transfer RNA, 76 nt
Filed under: Caiman crocodilus (spectacled caiman)
Lineage: Eukaryota; Metazoa; Chordata; Crocodylia; Alligatoridae
Description: transfer RNA-Trp
Source: RNAcentral